AACACCCCUUGGAGCUAAGAUCGAAGUGUAGUGUCUGUUCUUAUCAGUUUAAUAUCUGAUAUGUCCUUUAUUUGAGGACUGUAUAUUAACUUGAUUUUUGAUUUUUUUUUUUUUAAUUUUAAAUAGGAGCUUGCUCUGUCCACCCCAUGCAUUGACCUGGUAUUGCAGUGUCUCCAGGAACGGUAAAAUCUCG
Mauremys reevesii (Reeves's turtle) is the source of this 193-nucleotide small nuclear RNA. RefSeq annotates it as U2 spliceosomal RNA. NCBI's taxonomy places the organism in Eukaryota, Metazoa, Chordata, Testudines, Geoemydidae. The record is from RefSeq and is a predicted model, not a curated record. The transcript has a single exon.